Molecule: ribosomal RNA, 776 nt
Filed under: uncultured Neocallimastigales
Lineage: Eukaryota; Fungi; Neocallimastigomycota; Neocallimastigomycetes; Neocallimastigales
Description: partial large subunit ribosomal RNA
Rfam family: Eukaryotic large subunit ribosomal RNA
Source: RNAcentral
CGCAUCUGUGCAUGCAGCAUAUCAAUAAGCGGAGGAAAAGAAACUAACAAGGAUUCUCCUAGUAACGGCGAGUGAAGCGGGAAGAGCUCAAAUUUGAAAUCUUAAAGGGUUUCCCUUUACGAAUUGUAGUUUAAAGAAGUGUUUUCUGUUGAGGUUUUGGUAAAAGUUCUUUGGAAUAGGACAUCAUAGAGGGUGAGAAUCCCGUAUUUGACCUUUACUUUCAACUUUGUGAUACACUUUCAAAGAGUCGGAUUGUUUGGGAAUGCAGUCCAAAAUGGGUGGUAAAUUUCAUCUAAAGCUAAAUAUUGGCGAGAGACCGAUAGCGAACAAGUACCGUGAGGGAAAGAUGAAAAGAACUAUUGAAAAGAGAGUUAAACAGUACGUGAAAUUGUCAAAAGGGAAGCGUUUGACACCAGUGUUGUUUUUCUGAAAAUCAAUUAAAGAACUGUUUAUGCUAAGCUGUUUAGACUUUAUCAGCUAAUCUGUUUAGCUUUGAGCUUUUCUUUAAUGCACUUUUCAGUUAACAAGUCAACAUCAAUUUCUUUUGCUGUAAAAAAGCUUGAGGAAGGUGGCUUGAGAUUCGUCUUAAGUGUUUAUAGCCUCUUGCCUAUGCAGUCGGAGAGAUUGAGGUCUGCAGCGUAGAUCCUUCGGGGCUAAAUGCAUUUGUGCUAAGUUAUAGCAUUUUAUAGACAGCUUGUUGACUAUGAUUUGUCUUGUAGCUUACUCGCUUAUGUUAUUUUACCUACGCUUAGGAUGUUGAACGCGCACAGAGUCUC